This 484-nucleotide ribosomal RNA is filed under the name uncultured bacterium. RNAcentral describes it as "partial 16S ribosomal RNA". It matches the Rfam family "Bacterial small subunit ribosomal RNA", at positions 29 to 507 of the family's 1533-position model. The record is from RNAcentral.
AUUGAACGCUGGCGGCAUGCUUUACACAUGCAAGUCGAACGGCAGCGCGGGCUUCGGCCUGGCGGCGAGUGGCGAACGGGUGAGUAAUACAUCGGAACGUGCCCAGUAGUGAGGGAUAGCUCGGCGAAAGCCGGAUUAAUACCGCAUACGACCUGAGGGUGAAAGCGGGGGAUCUUCGGACCUCGCGCUAUUGGAGCGGCCGAUGGCAGAUUAGCUAGUUGGUGGGGUAAAGGCCUACCAAGGCGACGACCUGUAGCUGGUCUGAGAGGACGACCAGCCACACUGGGACUGAGACACGGCCCAGACUCCUACGGGAGGCAGCAGUGGGGAAUUUUGGACAAUGGGCGAAAGCCUGAUCCAGCAAUGCCGCGUGUGUGAUGAAGGCCUUCGGGUUGUAAAGCACUUUUGGCGGGAACGAAAAGGACUGUGCCAAUACCACGGUUCGAUGACGGUACCCGCAGAAUAAGCACCGGCUAACUACGUG